GACGAACGCUGGCGGCGUGCCUAACACAUGCAAGUGGAGCGACGAACCAGGCUUCGGCCUGGGGCAAGGCCGCGAACGGGUGAGUAACACGUGGGUAACCUGCCCUGAUGAUUGGGACAACCCGAGGAAACUCGGGCUAAUACCGAAUGUGCCCUCCGGCCUCAAGGCCGCUGGGGAAAGGAGCUUCGGCCUCCGCAUCGGGAUGGGCCCGCGGCCCAUUAGCUUGUUGGUGAGGUAACGGCNCACCAAGGCGACGAUGGGUAGCUGGUCUGAGAGGACGAUCAGCCACACUGGGACUGAGACACGGCCCAGACUCCUACGGGAGGCAGCAGUGGGGAAUCUUGCGCAAUGCGCGAAAGCGUGACGCAGCAACGCCGCGUGGGGGAAGAAGGCCUGG
RNAcentral lists this ribosomal RNA (397 nucleotides) under uncultured bacterium. Its description in RNAcentral is "bacterial SSU rRNA". It matches the Rfam family "Bacterial small subunit ribosomal RNA", at positions 28 to 419 of the family's 1533-position model. The record is from RNAcentral.